UCCUACGGGAGGCAGCAGUGAGGAAUUUUGCGCAAUGGGGGAAACCCUGACGCAGCAACGCCGCGUGAGUGAUGAAGGCCUUCGGGUCGUAAAGCUCUGUCAAGUGGGAAGAACCUGCUGUCCGUUAAUAUAGGGCAGCACUGACGGUACCACUGAAGGAAGCACCGGCUAACUCCGUGCCAGCAGCCGCGGUAAUACGGGGGGUGCAAGCGUUAUUCGGAAUUAUUGGGCGUAAAGGGCGCGUAGGCGGUCUUGUAAGUCAGAUGUGAAAGCUCUCGGCUUAACCGGGAAAGUGCAUUUGAAACUAUGAGACUUGAGUAUGGGAGAGGGAAGUGGAAUUCCUGGUGUAGAGGUGAAAUUCGUAGAUAUCAGGAGGAACACCGGUGGCGAAGGCGACUUCCUGGACCAAUACUGACGCUGAGGCGCGAAGGCGUGGGGAGCAAACAGGAUUAGAUACCCUGGUAGUCCACGCAGUAAACGUUGAUCACUAGGUGUAGCGGGUAUUGACCCCUGCUGUGCCGCAGUUAACGCAUUAAGUGAUCCGCCUGGGGAGUACGAUCGCAAGGUUAAAACUCAAAUGAAUUGACGG
Molecule: ribosomal RNA, 589 nt
Filed under: uncultured bacterium
Lineage: Bacteria
Description: bacterial SSU rRNA
Rfam family: Bacterial small subunit ribosomal RNA
Source: RNAcentral